UACGGAGGGGGCUAGCGUUGUUCGGAAUUACUGGGCGUAAAGCGCACGUAGGCGGACCGGAAAGUUGGGGGUGAAAUCCCGGGGCUCAACCUCGGAACUGCCUUCAAAACUACUGGUCUGGAGUUCGAGAGAGGUGAGUGGAAUUCCGAGUGUAGAGGUGAAAUUCGUAGAUAUUCGGAGGAACACCAGUGGCGAAGGCGGCUCACUGGCUCGAUACUGACGCUGAGGUGCGAAAGCGUGGGGAGCAAACAGG
RNAcentral lists this ribosomal RNA (253 nucleotides) under uncultured bacterium. RNAcentral's name for it is "partial 16S ribosomal RNA". It matches the Rfam family "Bacterial small subunit ribosomal RNA", at positions 524 to 776 of the family's 1533-position model. The record is from RNAcentral.